Molecule: RNA transcript, 1435 nt
Organism: Neopelma chrysocephalum (saffron-crested tyrant-manakin)
Lineage: Eukaryota; Metazoa; Chordata; Aves; Passeriformes; Pipridae
Gene name: regulator of cell cycle RGCC-like
Exons: 6
Source: RefSeq, a predicted model, not a curated record
CCCUGUGCCUGUGCCAUGGGGGUGCGUGUGUGGGGCAGAGCCGUGCUCCAGAGCCACCAGCACAGGCUGUCACCUCCUUGCAGGUCCAAAGCACUGCUGUGCCCCUGGCACGGCCCUGCCUCUGCCAUCUGCUUCAUCAGAGUUUGGGGAAUGAGAUUCCCGUCCCCAGAGCUGAGGGGACUGGAGCGUCCGUCUUUCGAGGGAAGGCUGAGGGAGCUGGGACUGUUCAGUCUGGAGAAGAGACAACUCGUCCCCCAAAGGGACCUUAUGGAUGUAUCUAAGUGCUUUUCGAUGGCCGAGGAGCUCAGUGACCUGCUCAGGGAGUUUGAUGAGGUGAUGGAGGACUUUGACCGGGGCCCUGCAUGUCAGUACCAGCAGCACCUGGAAGAGCUGAAGAGGAAGGCGGGACACAGCGUGUACGACAGCGGCAUCGAUGAGCUGGAGAGUGCCAGCACGUCCCCGGGAAGCAGCCUCAACUCCAGCGAGGAGCACCUCAACACCCCAGCCGACACUUACCCCACCAAAGCUAAGCUUGGUGACACGCAGGAGCUGGAGGAGUUCAUCGCGGACCUGGAUAAAGCCUUGGAGGGCUCUUUCAGCUGGGGCAGAAAUACAAAGGCUUAAGUGCGUUCCCUCUCUGCUGCCUCAGCUUCCCUCAGCUGAUGAGCUGGAGGUGCUGGUACCUGGGGAGGGGACUGAGGAUAUGAAGGCCAUGUUGGUCCUGGCAAUGAUGCCCAACAGGACAACCUGCAGAGCUGUUGAUGUUUUUGGGAAGAUGCAGAGGUGCCUGUGGCUCUCUGCCUGCAGCCUCCCUCCAGCUCCUGCUUGGAGGCUGCUCUUUGCUUGAGGGAGAAAGAGAUGUGAGAUGUGGUUCGGGGUUUGGAGAGGAGGAUCCCCAGCAGCUGAGCCCCCCUGAUGCCUGCCUGAUGCACCCUCUGCUUCUGCACCCACUGCUGGCCUGGGGAUGGCUCCUGGGGCCGUGCUGGGGACGGGGACAGGCGCAGGGACAGGCGGUGGGGACGGAUCCGGCCAUGGGACAGUGGUGGCAGGACCCUGCCAGCGCCGAGAGAGGAGAACCCGGGGUGGGCACUGGGCUCUGCCCUGCACGGGGGCUGGUGGCUCCUGGGACUGAGUGGGUUGAGGAGGCCUGUGCCACUGAUGAAGCCCUUGGAGACCCCCUGGGUGAUUUUGGGGAAGGACAUCAGUGUGACCUUGGUGUCCCCUCCAGACUGGGAAAGCCUGUUCCCCCGGUGGCAUCUGUCACAGGCGGUGGCAGCCACUGCUGGCCCUUUGCUUUGCAUGGGGACCCCCAAAUCUGGCCCAUCCCUGCCCCCCAAGUGCCUCUGCCCCAGCUGCUGCUGCUGUAAAUACUGUAAAAAGGAUGUUUUGGGCUGUACAGAGAGAAUGUGUUUCUAUAAACAGGAUUUUAAGCCUC